AUGAGCCCGUCAGGGAAUUAUGACGCAUGGCUAUUGCAAGAGCCCCUAUGGCGAACACCACGACGCUCUGUGUUCAAACACAAACAAAAGCCGAAACAACCCCACUUCCACCAUUUUUCACUAUUUUCUUCACCUCCUACCCACUGUCUUCCUCCAUUAACACUCACCAUAACUCCACCCACUCAAAUUACUUCCAAUAACUCACAAAAUCCAUUAACCUUCCACUAA
This is a non-coding RNA of Vicia faba (fava bean), 228 nucleotides long. The record is from the annotation of a GenBank genome assembly. NCBI's taxonomy places the organism in Eukaryota, Viridiplantae, Streptophyta, Magnoliopsida, Fabales, Fabaceae.